This 497-nucleotide ribosomal RNA is filed under the name uncultured bacterium. Its description in RNAcentral is "partial 16S ribosomal RNA". It matches the Rfam family "Bacterial small subunit ribosomal RNA", at positions 29 to 507 of the family's 1533-position model. The record is from RNAcentral.
AGUGAACGCUGGCGGCAGGCCUAACACAUGCAAGUCGAGCGGAAGCACAGUAAGAGUGCGCUCCUACGGGUGGCGACGGACGGACGAGUAAGACGUAGAUAGGCAACUACUAAUACGUGGGUGACAACGGAGAAAAGCAUAUACUAAUAGCGCAUAUAACGUACGGGUGAAAGCAGUGGAUCUACGCACCUUGGGCGUUUGAAUGAGACGAAGCCGGGCCGCAUUAGCUAGUUGGUAAAGUAACGGCUUACCAAGGCAACGAUGCGUAGCCGACCUGAGAGGGUGAUCGGCCACACUGGAACUGAGACACGGUCCAGACUCCUACGGGAGGCAGCAGUAGGGAAUCUUCGACAAUGGGCGCAAGCCUGAUGGAGCCAUGCCGCGUGAGUGAUGAAGGCCUUCGGGUUGUUAAGCCCUUUUAUUGGGAAAGAACAGCUGCGUGUUAAACCCCGCCUGUUCUGACGGUACCUAAUGAGAAAGCCCCGGCUAACUUCGUG